UGGGGAAUAUUGGACAAUGGGCGCAAGCCUGAUCCAGCCAUGCCGCGUGAGUGAUGAAGGCCCUAGGGUUGUAAAGCUCUUUCACCGGUGAAGAUAAUGACGGUAACCGGAGAAGAAGCCCCGGCUAACUUCGUGCCAGCAGCCGCGGUAAUACGAAGGGGGCUAGCGUUGUUCGGAUUUACUGGGCGUAAAGCGCACGUAGGCGGACUAUUAAGUCAGGGGUGAAAUCCCGGGGAUCAACCCCGGAACUGCCUUUGAUACUGGUAGUCUUGAGUUCGAGAGAGGUGAGUGGAAUUCCGAGUGUAGAGGUGAAAUUCGUAGAUAUUCGGAGGAACACCAGUGGCGAAGGCGGCUCACUGGCUCGAUACUGACGCUGAGGUGCGAAAGCGUGGGGAGCAAACAGG
RNAcentral lists this ribosomal RNA (404 nucleotides) under Actinomycetes bacterium. Its description in RNAcentral is "Actinobacteria bacterium partial 16S ribosomal RNA". It matches the Rfam family "Bacterial small subunit ribosomal RNA", at positions 355 to 776 of the family's 1533-position model. Lineage: Bacteria; Bacillati; Actinomycetota; Actinomycetes. The record is from RNAcentral.